Molecule: transfer RNA, 96 nt
Filed under: Candidatus Zhuqueibacterota bacterium
Lineage: Bacteria; Pseudomonadati
Also listed under: 1 other name
Description: candidate division KSB1 bacterium (activated sludge metagenome) tRNA-Sec
Rfam family: Selenocysteine transfer RNA
Source: RNAcentral
GGGAGCGCAUGGGUGCCUGGUGGCCUCCGCGGUCUUCAAAACCGUUGCGGCGUCGGUUUUCCGGCGACGGGUGGGUUCGAUUCCUACACGCUCCCG